GAUGAACGCUGGCGGCGUGCCUAAUACAUGCCAGUCGAGCGAACAGAUAAGGAGCUUGCUCCUUUGACGUUAGCGGCGGACGGGUGAGUAACACGUGGGUAACCUACCUAUAAGACUGGAAUAACUCCGGGAAACCGGGGCUAAUGCCGGAUAACAUUUAGAACCGCAUGGUUCUAAAGUGAAAGAUGGUUUUACUAUCACUUAUAGAUGGACCCGCGCCGUAUUAGCUAGUUGGUAAGGUAACGGCUUACCAAGGCAACGAUACGUAGCCGACCUGAGAGGGUGAUCGGCCACACUGGAACUGAGACACGGUCCAGACUCCUACGGGAAGCAGCAGUAGGGAAUCUUCCGCAAUGGGCGAAAGCCUGACGGAGCAACGCCGCGUGAGUGAUGAAGGUCUUCGGAUCGUAAAACUCUGUUAUUAGGGAAGAACAAAUGUGUAAGUAACUGUGCACGUCUUGACGGUACCUAAUCAGAAAGCCACGGCUAACUACGUG
This 497-nucleotide ribosomal RNA is filed under the name uncultured bacterium. RNAcentral describes it as "partial 16S ribosomal RNA". It matches the Rfam family "Bacterial small subunit ribosomal RNA", at positions 28 to 507 of the family's 1533-position model. The record is from RNAcentral.